This 254-nucleotide ribosomal RNA is filed under the name uncultured bacterium. RNAcentral describes it as "partial 16S ribosomal RNA". It matches the Rfam family "Bacterial small subunit ribosomal RNA", at positions 524 to 776 of the family's 1533-position model. The record is from RNAcentral.
UACGGGGGGGGCAAGCGUUGUUCGGAAUUACUGGGCGUAAAGGGCUCGUAGGCGGCCAACUAAGUCAGACGUGAAAUCCCUCGGCUUAACCGGGGAACUGCGUCUGAUACUGGAUGGCUCGAGGUUGGGAGAGGGAUGCGGAAUUCCAGGUGUAGCGGUGAAAUGCGUAGAUAUCUGGAGGAACACCGGUGGCGAAGGCGGCAUCCUGGACCAAUUCUGACGCUGAGUGAGCGAAAGCCAGGGGAGCAAACGGG